GAAUUGAGAAGUUUGCUGGAGGUAUCAGAAGUGCGAAUGCUGACAUGAGUAACGAUAAUGCGGGUGAAAAACCCGCACGCCGGAAGACCAAGGGUUCCUAUCCCAUGUUAAUCAGGGUAGGGUAAGUCGACCCCUAAGGCGAGGCCGAAAGGCGUAGUCGAUGGGAAACGGAUUAAUAUUUCCGUACUUGGUAUAAUUGCGAUGGGGGGACGGAGAAGGCUAAGCAAGCAUGGCGAUGGUUGUCCAUGUGAAAGUGAGUAGGCUAGUGACUUAGGUAAAUCCGGGUUGCCUUUAAGGCCGAGAACUGAUGACGAGCCCUCUUUUGGGUGAAGUGGUUGAUGCCAUGCUUCCAGGAAAAACUUCUAAGCUUCAGAUAUACGGGAACCGUACCCCAAACCGACACAGGUGGUCAGGUAGAGAAUACUAAGGCGCUUGAGAGAACUCGGGUGAAGGAACUAGGCAAAAUGGUACCGUAACUUCGGGAGAAGGUACGCCGAUUUUGGUGAUGGGAUUUACUCCUUAAGCUGAGAUUGGUCGAAGAUACCAGGUGGCUGCGACUGUUUAUUAAAAACACAGCACUCUGCAAACACGAAAGUGGACGUAUAGGGUGUGACGCCUGCCCGGUGCUUGAAGGUUAAUUGAUGGGGUUAGCGUAAGCGAAGCUCUUGAUCGAAGCCCAAGUAAACGGCGGCCGUAACAAUAACGGUCCUAAGGUAGCGAAAUUCCUUGUCGGGUAAGUUCCGACCUGCACGAAUGGCGUAACGAUGGCCACACUGUCUCCACCCGAGACUCAGUGAAAUUGAAAUCGCAGUGAAGAUGCUGUGUACCCGCGGCUAGACGGAAAGACCCCGUGAACCUUUACUACAGCUUGGCACUGAACAUUGAACCUACAUGUGUAGGAUAGGUGGGAGACUUUGAAGCAGCGACGCUAGUUGUUGUGGAGUCGUCCUUGAAAUACCACCCUUGUAGUUUUGAUGUUCUAACGUUGGCCCCUGAAUCGGGGUUACGGACAGUGCCUGGUGGGUAGUUUGACUGGGGCGGUCUCCUCCCAAAGAGUAACGGAGGAGCACGAAGGUUGGCUAAGUACGGUCGGACAUCGUACGGUUAGUGUAAUGGUAGAAGCCAGCUUAACUGCGAGACAGACACGUCGAGCAGGUACGAAAGUAGGUCAUAGUGAUCCGGUGGUUCUGAAUGGAAGGGCCAUCGCUCAACGGAUAAAAGGUACUCCGGGGAUAACAGGCUGAUACCGCCCAAGAGUUCAUAUCGACGGCGGUGUUUGGCACCUCGAUGUCGGCUCAUCACAUCCUGGGGCUGAAGCCGGUCCCAAGGGUAUGGCUGUUCGCCAUUUAAAGUGGUACGCGAGCUGGGUUUAGAACGUCGUGAGACAGUUCGGUCCCUAUCUGCCGUGGACGUUUGAGAUUUGAGAGGAGCUGCUCCUAGUACGAGAGGACCGGAGUGGACGAACCUCUGGUGUUCCGGUUGUGAUGCCAAUCGCAUUGCCGGGUAGCUAUGUUCGGACGGGAUAAGCGCUGAAAGCAUCUAAGCGCGAAGCCUCCUUCAAGAUUAGCUUUCCCUGAUUCUUUAGAAUCCUGUAGGGCCGUAGAAGACUACUACGUUGAUAGGCUGGGUGUGGAAGCGUUGUAAAGCGUUGAGCUAACCAGUACUAAUUGCCCGUGAGGCUUGACCCU
RNAcentral lists this ribosomal RNA (1688 nucleotides) under Calanus finmarchicus. RNAcentral describes it as "bacterial LSU rRNA". It matches the Rfam family "Bacterial large subunit ribosomal RNA", at positions 1258 to 2925 of the family's 2925-position model. Lineage: Eukaryota; Metazoa; Arthropoda; Copepoda; Calanoida; Calanidae. The record is from RNAcentral.